AUCCAACUGACGCGUCCCAAAUAGGACGAAAGCGCGAUCGCUGGAU
RNAcentral lists this non-coding RNA (46 nucleotides) under Schistosoma mansoni. Lineage: Eukaryota; Metazoa; Platyhelminthes; Trematoda; Strigeidida; Schistosomatidae. The record is from RNAcentral.